Saccostrea cuccullata (small rock oyster) is the source of this 504-nucleotide long non-coding RNA. RefSeq lists it as uncharacterized. The transcript is spliced from 3 exons. The record is from RefSeq and is a predicted model, not a curated record. NCBI's taxonomy places the organism in Eukaryota, Metazoa, Mollusca, Bivalvia, Ostreida, Ostreidae.
ACUUUAAGCUUGAAUACUGUUCGUCAUCGCAAGCAAAAGUUGAAAAAGGCUGCGGUACAUCCAUAACUAUAGUACUGACUUGAACGUGUACUACUGAUUUGUAGUUGAUGGACAAUGGUCAGCUUGGUCAGGAUUUGGACAGUGUAGUAGUAGUUGCGGGGCAGGUGUUCAGAUAAGGAUUAGAAACUGUUCUAAUCUUGCACCUGAAUAUGGAGGUUAUAACUGCACAGGAAGGUUUAAGGAGAGCCAACCGUGCAACCUCAGGCAUUGUCCAGUGAACGGUAAUCGGGGUCAAUGGGGUCACUUCCGGCCAUGUGACAUGCCAUGUGGUGGGGGAAUUCAUAUCAGAAUGAGAAGAUGUGACGACCCUCUUCCUUCUUAUGGAGGGCUUCAAUGCUCUGGUCAAUCAGUUCAAACAGAGGCAUGCAACACUCAAUCAUGUCAAGAUAUAAAAUUAGUGACUCUGUCAAACAACUUGCUAGGAUAGAAUGAAAUAAAGCAGUG